This 468-nucleotide ribosomal RNA is filed under the name uncultured bacterium. Its description in RNAcentral is "partial 16S ribosomal RNA". It matches the Rfam family "Bacterial small subunit ribosomal RNA", at positions 28 to 507 of the family's 1533-position model. The record is from RNAcentral.
GACGAACGCUGGCGGCGCGCCUAACACAUGCAAGUCGAACGGAGCUGCGAGAAGCUUGCUUUUCUUAGCUUAGUGGCGAACGGGUGAGUAACGCGUGAGUAACCUGCCCUGGAGUGGGGGACAGCAGUUGGAAACGACUGCUAAUACCGCAUAAGCCCACGAUCCGGCAUCGGAUUGAGGGAAAAGGAUUUAUUCGCUUCAGGAUGGACUCGCGUCCAAUUAGCUAGUUGGUGAGGUAACGGCCCACCAAGGCGACGAUUGGUAGCCGGACUGAGAGGUUGAACGGCCACAUUGGGACUGAGACACGGCCCAGACUCCUACGGGAGGCAGCAGUGGGGGAUAUUGCACAAUGGGGGAAACCCUGAUGCAGCGACGCCGCGUGGAGGAAGAAGGUUUUCGGAUUGUAAACUCCUGUCGUUAGGGACGAUAAUGACGGUACCUAACAAGAAAGCACCGGCUAACUACGUG